This is a long non-coding RNA of Lates calcarifer (barramundi perch), 3680 nucleotides long. RefSeq lists it as uncharacterized. The transcript has 3 exons. NCBI's taxonomy places the organism in Eukaryota, Metazoa, Chordata, Actinopteri, Centropomidae. The record is from RefSeq and is a predicted model, not a curated record.
GGGUCAGCAGCAUUGAGAAGUUCACUAAUGAGCCUUUUCUGUCGUCUUUUGUGCUGUUUUCCAACCCCAUAAUAACAGAUACCUCACUGAGAAGCCAAACAGUAUAAUGCGACAAGAAAGAGGGGGAGAGUGUUUGGAAGGCACAUGACAUUUUCCAUGAAACCGGUUCCAAUCCACAACACUGAAGAUGCAUCAGGACUGCGUGGGCUUGGACCAUGUCUCACUCUCUGCACCGUCUUAGAAGAAAUGCUGGAUAAAGAAGAAGAAGCUGACAGCCUGAACAGGUGGAAGGUAUCCUGUCCCUGGAAACACCAGAAAACAACUUCUCCUAUUUUAAAGUUCUGCCUGUAAACUUACAGAUGACACGAAGACACUGAGAUACAAACUUGAACACAGAUGCAGAUGCAUGCUUACAGUGAAUUGAAUAUUUCCAAUAUUUGUGAUUUUACAGUAUCAUAUGGAUGUAAUUAUUUAGUUAAAUCUUUACAUGAAUACUUAAAAACAGUUUUGCUUGUAGCACUAAGCCCACAGAGAAAUAUCGCCGGACUCUGUAGUUCCCCUCAACUCUAUCAGUGUUUAGUUUCCAGCCCCGUCACUGCUCUUAUCAGCAUUGUUUUUAGCUCCAACAGGCAAUUUUAUUCAGCCUUAAAAACCCACUGUGGUCUACCUGUUCAGCACACAGCCAGCAAGUUAGCAAGAAACAUAACUAGCUGGUGAACACAUUCCCUCAGGAGAACAAAAUAGAUAUAGAAUAGAGUCAGCAUUGGACCUGCAUUUGCCAGGUGUCCCAAAACACAACUUCAAAUGAAAACUAAUGUCACUCCAUAUCUGUUAGACGUGUAAACAAGGCAUUUCUCAUGAUUUUUUCAUUCACAGCUUAUAAGCUAAUCAAACAUAUUUCAAAUAUACUGGUGUUUAAAUCACAAAAAGGGUGAGUUUGUGGAAAGUGACACUUUUCACUGACACAAUGAUUACUCUGAUGCUGUGAGGCUACAAAAUGUACCAAAGAAAUCAUCUGAAAGAACAAACAACUUAAAAAAAAAAGACAGACUCCAGCUUCAUAAUGGUUUCAGGAAAAAUACCACUAUAACCUCAUCAUCCUCUUAUCAUCUCUGCCAUUGUUAUAAGUUGAAUAUAAUGAUCUUGUAGUGAAUAAUUAAAAUUUUAAUUCCUUCAUUGUUUAAUUGAGCUAAUUGGGAAUCAGCUGAGCAGGAUUACUGUAGACAUUAAUCAAUAACAUCCUGUUACAAUCCUCUCUCCAUGAAAUUAAGAGGCUCUAGUAAUUGCCUGCAUGGUCUCCUAUAUCUAGCGAUACAUGCUAAUUGGUGCUAGUGACCUUAAACAUGGUGAAAUUCUCCACUAAUAGCAUUAUUAUUAUUGUUAAGGCACACAAGUGAGUGUCUGUGUCGCUCAGUUAAUUAAAACAACCAGUUAUUAUAGUUAUCAUAAAACUAUUAUGUCUUCCAAAUUGUGCCUGACUCUUUGUUUCUCUCCGACACUGUGUGAAUAAACCAAAAUGUCACACAUUUAAAAAGUCAACAGGUUGGUGGAGUUAGAAAUAAUUUAUUGAUCCCACACAUGUACAAGUAGCAUAGCUUGGAAAGUGCAGAUUUGAUUCAAUGCUGAGAAAAAGGUUGCAGGUGAGACAUACAUUUUAGCUGUGUGUGUGUAUGUGUGUUAGGAUUAGAUUUAGUGUUAUGUGACAUAGAUAAUGCUAAAUUUAAACUGUAUAUACUGAAUAUCUGUACUGGUCCAACCACAAUCAUCCCGCAAAUGCAGGACCUUCUGAAAUAGUACAUUUCAAAUUAAACUCCACAUUUACCAUCUGUUUCAUGAUCACACAGUUCUCUUCCUUCUCUACCUUCCAAGCUUUGUUUUUUUCUUUCUCACUGGAUGAAAAUAGAGAACAAUAAGGGAACAAACGAGGGAGAACUUAUGGGUAAAUCUGGAGGACAGAUGGGGAAUUAGAGAGAAACUGGACCAGCAAGGGAAUGUAAGAACCAAGGAGGGAAGAAAAUGAGGCAUGAAAAAAUGGCAUAAGAGGAAAUGAAAUGAGAGGAAAAAGAAGAGGAGUCUGGAUACAUCAUAAAUACAUUAUAUAUCAGGUUUUAUAGACUCAUGAUCACACAUUUGCAUAACUUAUAAAGUUAGUGGGGGUUUCCAGUUUGCUGGUUUACUCACCAAAACAAGAAUCAAAGUGACGUUGCAUUACAGUAGAUGAAAUAUACAGUCCAUAGGUCUGAGUAUGGGACACACUACACCGUCCAGGAUACAUGUGCAUUUACAAAGUCAGCAGAGGGGCUCAUGGUUAUACACUGUAUAACCAUUUCUUGUAAGCAAAUAAAACCAUUCACAGGAUCCCUGCCCCAGACAAUUAAUUGAAAUAAAUCAGUUUUAGAUUGUGAUAAAAUCACAGAAAAUCUGAGCAGAAAUGUGAUGCCACCCACAGACUUCUCAAUUAGGCUCAGGUUUUCAAGAAGCAAAUCCUUGGCUUGUAAUCAGCCAUUAAUCAUGACUUCCUUUUAUAAAUGAGCUCUAAAGGAGGGAGGUGAUGAUCGGCAGAAGAGAGGAAAGAAAACACAGAGUUAGAAAUCCAAGUGAGAGGAAGGGAUAUACAAAGAGGAAAAGGGAAAAAACAAAUGGCAUGUCACAUUACCAGGGUUACAUCUACAGUGAUGGAUCACUGUUAACAGCAUACUCUGGAUAUCCGUGUGGCGUGUGGGUUAUUGUUGUAUCUAUGUGGCCUAAGGGCAGUGUGCAGCGAUGGAGCACAGGGGGAUUUAUCUAUAGAAUAACAGUAUCAGUAUGUACAUCUGUCUGACGCGGGGGCCAGAGACAAACACACAGCGAGAGAAUCUGUCGUGGUUAUUUCAAAUUCUGCAGAUGGGAAAGACACAGACACUGUAUGUGGACAGAUGUGUGUAGGAGUAAGUUUGGCAGCAUUAUUUAGAUUCAGACGGGCGAAUAUCAAGAAGGGUCAUAAGCUAUAGAGAGAUUUCUCAGGAUACAAAAUGUAAAUACUGUAAAUGUUACCAGCUGCAAAGCUGUGUAUCGUUGCCAAAGGGAUUUUUAUUUGAGUUCAGGACUAUGACUUUUUUUACUACUGAAAACAGGAGAAAAGAUAGUGAUGACGUUUGUCAUAAAGCCGUAUUAGAUGACUUAUUCAUAACUUCCUUAAAAGCAUUAUUUUUGUUUUGGCAACUCUUGACUCAGUUAUUAAAAACAUUUGGUUUUCCAGAAAUCUGUUUGAAGAAAAUUAAUCAGAAGAACUUUAACAUCCAGAACCUGUAGCACUAUACGGCAGCACUAUAUAACAGUAUAUAAUUUAGUAGAGAAUAAAGAGAUACACAAGAGCUCUUACUAGAGAGGUGGAAGCAAGGAUGGAAGAGGGGAUGGAGAAAAGAAUGAGAAAUGGGUGAAGGUCAGAGAUGUUGAGGCCCGAGGGGUGAAAACAUGGCAGCACGAGAAACACAUCACAGACAUGAACAUACUGUACAUCCAGAUACAUUGGGACAGUAUAAGGUAAGAAAUGAAUGUUCUUCAUCCUGCAUCUCUCCUGCUUUAAUACUGUGGUGAUUACAGUGGCAGUUAACAAGACAGUUACUGUGAAUAAAUCAGCAUAUUGUAAACAGCCCCUUCCCUUUACUGUACUAAAUAAAAAGUUAAAAAAAAAAAAAAAA